RNAcentral lists this unclassified non-coding RNA (198 nucleotides) under Glomeraceae sp. Its description in RNAcentral is "partial contains 5.8S ribosomal RNA and internal transcribed spacer 2". The stretch from base 1 to 71 matches the Rfam family "5.8S ribosomal RNA", at positions 84 to 154 of the family's 154-position model. The record is from RNAcentral. Lineage: Eukaryota; Fungi; Glomeromycota; Glomeromycetes; Glomerales; Glomeraceae.
GUGAAUCAUCAAAUCUUUGAACGCAAAUUGCACUCUCUGGUAUUCCGGAGAGUAUGCCUGUUUGAGGGUCAGUUUAAAUAAAAAUCUUUGUGGUUGCUGCCUUUCCUGGUGACGCACCGGAUGUUGGUCGUCUUGCCUUCGGUUAAGUGACCUAAAAUUGUUCAUGAUUUUUUUGAACGUAUUUAAAUGAUUUUACUU